AUGAGGCGAACCCGGGGAACUGAAACAUCUAAGUACCCGGAGGAAAAGAAAUCAACCGAGAUUCCCCUAGUAGCGGCGAGCGAACGGGGAUUAGCCCUUAAGCAUAGAGGGUGUUAGUGGAAUGCGUUGGAAAGCGCAGCGGCACAGGGUGAUAGCCCCGUACAUGAAAACUAACUUUAUGUGAAAACGAGUAGGACGGGACACGUGACAUCUUGUCUGAACAUGGGGGGACCAUCCUCCAAGGCUAAAUACUCCUGACUGACCGAUAGUGAACCAGUACCGUGAGGGAAAGGCGAAAAGAACCCCUGUGAGGGGAGUGAAAUAGAACCUGAAACCGUAUACGUACAAGCAGUGGGAGCGGUUCUUGAGACCGUGACUGCGUACCUUUUGUAUAAUGGGUCAGCGGCUUACAUUUUGUAGCAAGGUUAAGCGAAUAGCGGAGCCGUAGGGAAACCGAGUGUUAACUGCGCGUUUAGUUGCAAGGUGUAGACCCGAAACCCGGUGAUCUAGCCAUGGGCAGGUUGAAGAUUGAGUAACAUCAAUUGGAGGACCGAACACACGUAUGUUGAAAAAUGCGGUGAUGACUUGUGGCUGGGGGUGAAAGGCCAAUCAAACCGGGAGAUAUCUGGUUCUCCUCGAAAGCUAUUUAGGUAGCGCCUCGUACGAAUACCAUUGGGGGUAGAGCACUGUUAAGGCUAGGGGGUCAUCCCGACUUACCAACCCUUUGCAAACUCCGAAUACCAAUGAGUACUAUACGGGAGACACACGGCGGGUGCUAACGUCCGUCGUGAA
This 792-nucleotide ribosomal RNA is filed under the name uncultured bacterium. Its description in RNAcentral is "bacterial LSU rRNA". It matches the Rfam family "Bacterial large subunit ribosomal RNA", at positions 174 to 1014 of the family's 2925-position model. The record is from RNAcentral.